CCUACGGGUGGCAGCAGGGAGGAAUAGUGGUCAAUGGGCGCGAGCCGGAACCAGCCAAGUAGCGUGAAGGAUGACUGCCCUACGGGUUGUAAACGUCUUUUAUAAAGGAAUAAAGUGAGGCACGUGGGCCGUUUUGUAUGUACGUUAUGAAUAAGGAUCGGCUAACUCCGUGCCAGCAGCCGCGGUAAUACGGAGGAUCCGAGCGUUAUCCGGAUUUAUUGGGUUUAAAGGGAGCGUAGCUGGGUUGGUAAGUCAGUUGUUAAAGUUUGCGGCUCAACCGUAAAAGUGCAUUUGAUACUGGCAGCCUUUAGUACCGUUGCGUUAGGCGGCAUUCGUGGUGUAGCGG
Molecule: ribosomal RNA, 346 nt
Filed under: uncultured bacterium
Lineage: Bacteria
Description: partial 16S ribosomal RNA
Rfam family: Bacterial small subunit ribosomal RNA
Source: RNAcentral